UAGGGGUAUAGUUUAAAGGUAGAACAACGGUCUCCAAAACCGUUGGUGUGGGUUCAAGUCCUACUACCCCUGU
Molecule: transfer RNA, 73 nt
Filed under: compost metagenome
Description: tRNA-Trp
Rfam family: tRNA
About the family: Transfer RNA (tRNA) molecules are approximately 80 nucleotides in length. Their secondary structure includes four short double-helical elements and three loops (D, anti-codon, and T loops).
Source: RNAcentral